CGGAUGUUUAUGUCAAGCAUCAGCAGGUGAACUGCAUCAUGACAAAGGUUCGUUUCAUGAUCAGACAUUUUCAAGUUUGAGCCACAUAUACAAGUGCAUUAAAUUUGACUAGCCGUUUGUAUGUAGCUAGCUUGGACGAUGUUACUGGUGGUUCUGACUAUCAUGAUGUCGGUAUGAAUUACACGUCGAACUUCAAAAGGAAGCAGGAAUGCUGCAGGCGGUCUAAUCCUGUCAACGCUAGCUAACUAGUUCGGUAACCGACAACGACGUUAUCAUUUUGCAGCUGUCAAUUAUUUUUACAUUUCAGCUUGUCAACUUUGUGUCGAAUGCCACGCCCAGCAGCUGUGGGCACCGUAGACUAGAGCAUGUAAGGACCACCAAAUGAGUGCUGCUGAUUUUAAUGUCGCGAACUUGGCUACCUACCACUGGUAACUAGGUGGAGUCCCUGCGAGAACACGUGUUGAAAGAUGCUGAGCUAAGGCCUCGGAGCAGGGCGGACACCCUCCACUGCAUGUUCUGCAUCUCAUCAGGAGGACUGUUGCUUCCAGAGGCUCGUCACCUAGACGACAGCAACCCAGUCCCCUUCUGUGUGUGCGGCUGUGGACAGGCGGCGGGCGCUCCGAGCAUCAACCCGACAAUGGCUGCAGUGGAGGCACUCAUGCCAUGGACACGGUAAGACGGGGGUAGAAGUGGUGGGAGUGGUCCUCCGGGUCACGCCUCAGCCCAGAGCUGGAUGUUUGUGACAGAUUCAUGGGCCUGAAGGACCAUCCGGAGGAGGAUGGAGCAGGCCGCAUCCUUGACCUGGGGCUGGUUUUAGAGUACCUCCACAUCGAAGGCUCCGUCAGCAGGCAGGCUGGCGCCGAUACAGGGCCCAGUAUGGA
This is a long non-coding RNA of Oncorhynchus keta (chum salmon), 881 nucleotides long. RefSeq lists it as uncharacterized. Lineage: Eukaryota; Metazoa; Chordata; Actinopteri; Salmoniformes; Salmonidae. The record is from RefSeq and is a predicted model, not a curated record. The transcript is spliced from 3 exons.